Long non-coding RNA from Callithrix jacchus (white-tufted-ear marmoset), 1909 nucleotides. RefSeq lists it as uncharacterized. NCBI's taxonomy places the organism in Eukaryota, Metazoa, Chordata, Mammalia, Primates, Cebidae. The record is from RefSeq and is a predicted model, not a curated record.
ACCAGAGAGAACACAGCAAGAGAACUGCCACCUGCAAGCCAGGAAGAGGACCCUCCCCAGAAACGGAAUCAGCUGGUACAAUGAUCUUGGACUUCUCGGCCUCCAGAACUGUAUGUGUGUGACUAGCUAGGUCCAGCAUGGCAUUAGCUAAGGUUUUUCUGGAGAAACAGAGCCAAUAUGAUAUACACAGAUGUGUAAGAGGAGGCUUAUUAUGAGAAGUGGCUCAUGUGAACACAGAGGAUGAGAAACCCCGUGGUCUGCUGAUUUGACAUCUGUGAGCUGCAGAACCAGCAGAACUGAUGACGUAAUUCAGUUGGAGUCUGAAGUUCUGAGAGCCAGGGAUUAGAGGUAUUGUAGCUGAUGCUGGUGAUGUUCUGUAUGACCGCCCCAGACUGGAUUUCAGCACUGCUAUGUGGAUAGCUCCACACACCUAUGACCCCAUUACAAACUGCAGAUGACACUGCCGCUCUUGCCCAUCAGCUUUCUCAGAUGCUGCUCAAAGCUGUUCAGCCAUGCACUCGUAAAACCCAGAGCACAGUGAAGUCAAUGCCUCCAGGGAAAGCUCAGCCAACAGUGGGUGGGAGUUGGUGGAUAAAUAACCAACCUCUCCAUCCUGUGUUGGAGAAACUAUACGUGGUUUCUAGAUGAUUCCCAUUGGGUUUGAGCUCCAGUUGUCUAUGGCAGAUUAAUAACUUGAUUUUAUUCCAUGAAUCACUUUUUGCUUCUUGGCAUUACCACCCAAAGUAAACUUUCUGUGAAAAUUUCUUUUAAUCAGAGUUUCUUGGGAAUCAGAUUGACAAAAUUUAUCUUGAAAGUGACCCUAUGAAGCGGACCUUCAAGAUAGGAUUCUGAAAUUGGAUUGCCUCAUGGUUAUAUGAAUGUAAAAAUCCUGCCAUUGGAAAUCAGUGGGCUGGUUAUCAGCCCUGACCUGUUGCAUUACAAUAACCAAGACUCUCAACUGGGGAAGAUUUGGAUGAGGUCCAGGUGAAAGUGAGGGCACUGAUUUAUGCAACAACUCUAGCAAUUAAAAGGAAUGGGCCUGAUGGCUCAUGCCCAUAAUCCCAGCACUUUGGGAUACUGUAGAAAGAUGGGUGAAGCCAUGUCAUGGAGAACCUUGAAGGCCUUUUCACGCUGUUCCUGCCUUAUCUUCAGACCAUGGGAAUCCUUUAUGUUUUCCAUGAGUAGUACAAUGUCACAGGUUGAGUCCUCUGGAACACAGAUGCUGAGAUUUGCAUUAAGGAAGUUCAGUGAGGGGAGGUGAUGGUCUAUCGUGAACAAUACCUGUGAAUUGUGAAGGGAACAGGAUUUAGUGGAAGAAGAAAUCACAACACAGGCCUCAGGUAGACUAAGAAUUGUCCACACUGAGUCAUGGCAGACAGGUCUUUGUACUCCUACAUCAAACCAUCAUUGGAUGCAAGCUGUCUCCAAGAAGAAGGGGUGGCCUUAGGUGAGUCAUCUCCCUCUGGUCCAGAGUAACUCCUGGACCUGUGAUACAUCCAGCUGGAGGAAUAAGCACCUUGUUCUCAAAGAGGGAUCUGGGCAGCACACACUGCAGGGCUGAAGCUAUCAGAGCCAAGAGGCCACUCUAGGUGGGUGCCACUCUAGAUGGGUGUCACUCUAGAUGAUGGCAGAUUGUUACACGUCCAUGAUGAGAUUAAGAGCUUGUAAUCAAAAUGUAAAGCAACACAAUGCCUCCUUCAUUGAGUCUUGCAAUAAACAAAAAGAAGAUGAAACUGAAUGUGUGUUUAAUGGCAUUGACUUAAGCUCCAGUACUAACGGCUUGUGAACUGGCACCAGUCAGCAAGCCACACUUUGAGUAGUUCUGCUACAGCCUAUAUUCCUGUCCUGUAGUAAAAUCACUCUGGGUCUUUUCCUUAUCAGCUACAUUUGUGAGGUUAACCUUCCUCAU